RNAcentral lists this ribosomal RNA (485 nucleotides) under Lasiodiplodia pseudotheobromae. RNAcentral's name for it is "eukaryotic LSU rRNA". The stretch from base 131 to 284 matches the Rfam family "5.8S ribosomal RNA". The record is from RNAcentral. RNAcentral also lists the same sequence under 3 other names. Lineage: Eukaryota; Fungi; Ascomycota; Dothideomycetes; Botryosphaeriales; Botryosphaeriaceae.
UUCGGGCUUCGGCUCGACUCUCCCACCCUUUGUGAACGUACCUCUGUUGCUUUGGCGGCUCCGGCCGCCAAAGGACCUCCAAACUCCAGUCAGUAAACGCAGACGUCUGAUAAACAAGUUAAUAAACUAAAACUUUCAACAACGGAUCUCUUGGUUCUGGCAUCGAUGAAGAACGCAGCGAAAUGCGAUAAGUAAUGUGAAUUGCAGAAUUCAGUGAAUCAUCGAAUCUUUGAACGCACAUUGCGCCCCUUGGUAUUCCGGGGGGCAUGCCUGUUCGAGCGUCAUUACAACCCUCAAGCUCUGCUUGGAAUUGGGCACCGUCCUCACUGCGGACGCGCCUCAAAGACCUCGGCGGUGGCUGUUCAGCCCUCAAGCGUAGUAGAAUACACCUCGCUUUGGAGUGGUUGGCGUCGCCCGCCGGACGAACCUUCUGAACUUUUCUCAAGGUUGACCUCGGAUCAGGUAGGGAUACCCGCUGAACUUAA